This is a long non-coding RNA of Cannabis sativa, 678 nucleotides long. RefSeq lists it as uncharacterized. NCBI's taxonomy places the organism in Eukaryota, Viridiplantae, Streptophyta, Magnoliopsida, Rosales, Cannabaceae. The transcript is spliced from 2 exons. The record is from RefSeq and is a predicted model, not a curated record.
GGUGUAAAUAUAACUCCCCAUUGAGAAAUAUAAUUUCUAACUAUAUAUUAAUAUUAUGGAGAAAAAGAAUAUUAAUGUUAAUUUUGUGAAGUGUUUGGCUAUGGCCAUGAUAGCAUUGUGCCUUGUUAUUUCUUUUCUUCCAUCCACUUUUGCAAUUGAAGGUUCUCGAAAGAUACUUUCUUCGAAUGAUGACAAUGAUAGGGUUUCUCUGUUCAAUAUAUUAUUGAUGGAAGGAAACCGUGUUUGCGGUUUGUGCAAUAACUUUAAAUGUCCCCGUGGAUGUAAUUGCUAUCCCGCAGAGCAACCGGUAGGACCUUAUUGUGCCGGAACAUGUUGUUAAGGAGUAAUAGUACUUAUUUUGUUUGACAAUAUAUAAUAUAAGUAAUAUUUACUAUGUUACUUUGGAAAAAAAAAUUAAAAUGUUGCCAAACAAUAAUUAUAAGUAUUUAUGAAUAAGCAAUAUGCAUGCCUAUAAUUUUGGUUAUAGGCGUGUUUGGUUGUAUGGAAUAAAUGUAUGAGAAGGACAUGAUGAUUACCUUUUGUAACCAAUAAGGGCAUACUUGUCAUUAUCCAAAAUUUAAUGAAUAGUAGCCCAGCAGUAAUUAAGAAAAAAGAAUUGUAGUAAUUAAUUUGUAACUUUAAUUUUAAUAAUUUUCUUUUAAGUAUUUUGCUGCUAAA